This 244-nucleotide ribosomal RNA is filed under the name Clostridioides difficile. Its description in RNAcentral is "partial 23S ribosomal RNA". It matches the Rfam family "Bacterial large subunit ribosomal RNA", at positions 394 to 640 of the family's 2925-position model. The record is from RNAcentral. Lineage: Bacteria; Bacillati; Bacillota; Clostridia; Peptostreptococcales; Peptostreptococcaceae.
CUUUAGAUAUGAUCCAGAGUACCACGGGACACGUGAAACCCUGUGGGAAGCAGGAGGGACCACCCUCCAAGGCUAAAUACUACCUAGUGACCGAUAGCGUAUAGUACCGUGAGGGAAAGGUGAAAAGAACCCCGGGAGGGGAGUGAAAUAGAACCUGAAACCCUGCACUUACAAGCUGUGGAAGCACAUUUCUUGUGUGACCGCGUACUUUUUGUAGAACGGGCCAACGAGUUACGUUAAGUAG